UUGGCAUGGUACCCUCUGCCCCAGAUCCGUCCGGUAUGAUUUCAGAGGAGGUCUCCUCAUGUUGCUUAUUCCCCGCUUCUUUAGUUGCGAGACCAUCGGUUGGUAGCUGGCGAGAUCCAUGCGGGGUGGAGGACGAUGAUCUUGCGAGGUCCAUGUCUUCUGAAUAGGUACCGCUUUGGAGGACCUUGAGUGAGACCAUGCAAAGCGGUCGAUACCAGUCCUUAGGUGGUCCUUCACGUGAUUCGGCGUCCGCGCCCUCUGAACCGAUC
RNAcentral lists this long non-coding RNA (269 nucleotides) under Brassica napus (rape). RNAcentral's name for it is "long non-coding RNA (BNAP_LNC019768)". Lineage: Eukaryota; Viridiplantae; Streptophyta; Magnoliopsida; Brassicales; Brassicaceae. The record is from RNAcentral.